Molecule: long non-coding RNA, 361 nt
Filed under: Mytilus galloprovincialis (Mediterranean mussel)
Lineage: Eukaryota; Metazoa; Mollusca; Bivalvia; Mytilida; Mytilidae
Source: RNAcentral
AUGGAAUCAGAGAUUAAGACAGCAAUCAAUAAAAGUGUAAUGUUUUAAAACAUUUUAAGUUUUUAAAUUUCCCACCUGUAUUUCUAUUCAAAAGGUCCCUGUAAAUAUGCCAUUCAUGCACUAUUAUCGUUUAUGUAUAUAUACUGUAACGUGUACAUAUAUUGGAUAAUUUUUAAGGUUGAGGUCAAACUUCAUAUGGAGGUGCUCCAAAUUAAAGGAGGCUUAUACUAAGAAAAAUAAGUUUACUUCCGGUUUACUGUUUGGGAAUACAUUACAAGGAUAUUAAUCGAAGGACCAGUUUAAAAUCUUUUCACAAAAUGGCGUCUUGUCAAUAUAAACAUUCAAAGAAUUUAGUGUUUCC